This is a long non-coding RNA of Hylaeus anthracinus, 446 nucleotides long. RefSeq lists it as uncharacterized. The record is from RefSeq and is a predicted model, not a curated record. The transcript has 3 exons. NCBI's taxonomy places the organism in Eukaryota, Metazoa, Arthropoda, Insecta, Hymenoptera, Colletidae.
CCCAAAUUGAAUAGAACGGGUUUCUUAAUUGCACACCGCGUUCGCACAUGUCAAACACAAAUAAUGAUAGACAUCCGAUACCUACUGCAGACAGAUGUCGCCAGUAGCAUUUUAAAGAGUUCCUUUGUUCACCUUCCUAAAUAACAAAUGUGUUAUAGAAAUUGUAGUUUAACGAUACUUUACUAUAAACGUCUAAAAGGUUAUGUAGGUCACCUUGGGAGCGGGAACGCAAAACAUGGUGUAACCCUUCAUAAAAUCAUAACAAAACAAACUCACCUGUAUCUGUUUGAGUAAGGGAUAACAUCAAAUACAAGCCAGAAAGACAAAAGAAUGGCAUAAAACACUCCUUGUCGAAUAUCACCCAAUAGAAGCAUGAAUGGCAUAUCAUAGGCAAGUGUUAAAUACUCCAAAGGCACUGAAAAGUACAAAAUUAUAGUUAGGCAUGA